CUCAAAAAGACAAAAAAAAAAAGAAAAAAAGAAAUCUUCAGAAUGGAAAUGAGACGCUGAGGCUGCCUAGACACUCCUGCGCAGGACCAGAGUCAGCGUCACGGGCCUGGAGCUCCAGCCGGUGUACCUGGUGUUGGGUCGGGAAGCUGUGGCUGGAUUCCCUCUUCAUGCACUCCUCUGUGGCCUGUAGGUAGAAGCAGGAAGAACUGGCUGAACCACAGUGGACACUUGUUUCAAGGUGGACCAAUCAGAAUUCCUUCACUGGGAAUUCAGUGUCAGGAGGUGCAGGAGAGAAGGAGCAAGAGGGACACCCAGACGGUGCGACUGCGGAUUUAACACUCAGGAGCACUGCAGUGGGCAUCUGACGUCUUCCCCAGGAUGAGCGCUUGGAGGCCCCUGACUGCUGGUUUCUGUUGAUGCUGUGUGUGAAUCCCUGGGAACUGCCCAUGUCACCUUUCCUCGCAAAAAUCACGCUUUGCAGAUGCAAUUCAGUUAAAGAUCUCGGGAUGGGAGAUUGGUGGAAUAACCUGGGAAGGUCUCAGUCACAGGAUAAGAGAGGCGCUGGACAGGAGGGGCGUCGGGGAAGAGCUGAUGGUGGAGGGAGGAGAAGGAGGGAGACGGGUUGGAAGCCGCUGCGUGGUGGCUUUGGCGUGCAGACACAGCGGCGGCAGGAGGCAGGCGCUUCUGCGAUCUGACAAGGUGAGCCGCUGGCUCUCCCGAGUGAGCACCAGACAGAGCCACCUCGGAAACCUCCCAGCGGCUUCUGCUCGGGGGGCCUCGGGGAGACACGGAGGGAAAGCUUCCCCAGAGCGGGGCAGGGGAGCCAGGCCAGGAGGGGGACAGGCUGGGGUGAACCGCGCCUGGCCUCCUGCUGGGUCAACCCUUUCCUGUGUGUGUAGGAGGAGGCAGCUUGCUGCCAAGCUCACUUAGUUUUACACAGACUCACUCUGGACGCUGGACCCAAAUGCGACUUGUUUUCAAUAGGAAAAUAAAAUGUCAAAGCUGU
Molecule: long non-coding RNA, 1006 nt
Organism: Chinchilla lanigera (long-tailed chinchilla)
Lineage: Eukaryota; Metazoa; Chordata; Mammalia; Rodentia; Chinchillidae
Exons: 3
Source: RefSeq, a predicted model, not a curated record